RNAcentral lists this ribosomal RNA (218 nucleotides) under uncultured bacterium. RNAcentral describes it as "partial 16S ribosomal RNA". It matches the Rfam family "Bacterial small subunit ribosomal RNA", at positions 1284 to 1500 of the family's 1533-position model. The record is from RNAcentral.
CGUCUCNGUUCAGAUUGCAGGCUGCAACUCGCCUGCAUGAAGUCGGAAUUGCUAGUAAUCGCAGAUCAGCAUGCUGCGGUGAAUACGUUCCCGGGCCUUGUACACACCCGCCCGUCACACCAUGGGAGUCGGUAACACCCGAAGUCGGUAGCCUAACCGUAAGGAGGGCGCCGCCGAAGGUGGGAUUGAUGACUGGGGUGAAGUCGUAACAAGGUACC